AACAAAAACCCAAACCUUUGCAUCGACAACAACUCUUGCCAACCAACAAAAAGGGAAAACAAUUUUAAGAUUGUUGUUUGUAUUGUUGUUCCGAUAGUUGCGGUUGUUGUGAUUGGAGCACUUGUAGUACUUCUGAUUCUCAUAGUGAGAAAAAAGAAAGGAUCUACAAAGAGCAGCAAACAACAAGACCGUCAACACCUGGACAACCACCGAUUCACAUACAAAGAACUAGAGACCAUAACAGACAACUUCAAGACAGUGCUUGGCCUAGGAGGGUUUGGAACUGUUUAUGAUGGCUUCUUGCAGGAUGGUACCCAAGUUGCAGUCAAGUUACGGUCUCAAUCCUCCAGUCAAGAUGUAAGAGAGUUCUUGACAGAGGCUCAGACAAUAACGAAGAUCCAUCACAAGAAUCUUUUAUCAUUAGUUGGUUAUUGCAAGGAUGGGAUAUAUUUAGCUCUUGUCUACAAGCAUAUGUCUGGAGGAAAUCUAGAAGA
Long non-coding RNA from Triticum dicoccoides, 494 nucleotides. RefSeq lists it as uncharacterized. The transcript is spliced from 3 exons. The record is from RefSeq and is a predicted model, not a curated record. Lineage: Eukaryota; Viridiplantae; Streptophyta; Magnoliopsida; Poales; Poaceae.